This 492-nucleotide ribosomal RNA is filed under the name uncultured bacterium. RNAcentral describes it as "partial 16S ribosomal RNA". It matches the Rfam family "Bacterial small subunit ribosomal RNA", at positions 29 to 507 of the family's 1533-position model. The record is from RNAcentral.
AGUGAACGCUGGCGGUAGGCCUAACACAUGCAAGUCGAACGGCAGCACAGUAAGAGCUUGCUCUUACGGGUGGCGAGUCGCAGACGGGUGAGAAAUACAUCGGAAUCUACUUUUUCGUGGGGGAUAACGUAGGGAAACUUACGCUAAUACCGCAUACGACCUACGGGUGAAAGCAGGGGAUCUUCGGACCUUGCGCGAUUGGAUGAGCCGAUGUCGGAUUAGCUAGUUGGCGGGGUAAAGGCCCACCAAGGCGACGAUCCGUCGCUGGUCUGAGAGGAUGAUCAGCAACACGGGAACUGGGACACGGUCCAGACUCCUACGGGAGGCAGCAGUGGGGAAUAUUGGACAUUGGGCGCAAGCCUGAUCCAGACAUACCGCGUGGGUGAAGAAGGCCUUCGGGUUGUAAAGCCCGUUUGUUGGGAAAGAAAAGCAUCAGGUUAAUACCCCGCUGGUCUGACGGUACCCAAAGAAUAAGCACCGGCUAACUUCGUG